This is an RNA transcript of Carica papaya (papaya), 1908 nucleotides long. It is a transcript of the gene named glutathione gamma-glutamylcysteinyltransferase 3-like, with no coding region annotated. Lineage: Eukaryota; Viridiplantae; Streptophyta; Magnoliopsida; Brassicales; Caricaceae. The record is from RefSeq and is a predicted model, not a curated record.
AGGUCAACAAGUGAAGAAAAAGAGUGAGAAAAGCUACGGUUUCAUUUUUUGGAGAAUGUACGCUACUCUUCAACCCUGCUAAAUCUUCUCCAUUCAGUACCAGAAGAGAGAAGAAGAGACUUGAACGAUUAACAACAGAAUCCAUUUAGCAGCAAUAUUUCUUAGAAGAGAAGUUAAGGGGAAAUGGCGACAGCCGGUAUUUACAGGAGAGUCCUUCCCUCUCCUCCUGCUAUCGAGUUCGCUUCACCUCAAGGCAAGCAACUCUUCAGAGAAGCUUUAGAAGAAGGAAGCAUGGAAGGUUUUUUCAAAUUGAUAUCCUACUUCCAAACGCAAUCAGAGCCUGCGUUUUGUGGCCUUGCCACUCUAGCCAUGGUCUUGAAUGCCCUCAGUAUCGAUCCUGGAAGGAAAUGGAAAGGGCCUUGGAGAUGGUUUGAUGAUACCAUGUUGGAUUGCUGUGAGCCUCUGUCUAAGGUUAAAAGUAAAGGUAUCACAUUUGGGAAAGUUGCAUGUUUGGCUCAUUGCAACGGAGCUAAAGUUAAAGCUUUUCGGACAAAUGAAUGCACAGUUAAUGAUUUUCGCGACCAAGUGAUUUCUUGUGCUUCUUCAGAGGACUGCCAUGUGAUUGUCUCAUACCAUAGAGCCGUAUUUAAGCAGACUGGAACUGGUCAUUUUUCACCAAUUGGGGGCUAUCAUGCUGGAAGCGAUAUGGUUCUUAUUUUGGAUGUUGCUCGAUUCAAAUAUCCCCCUCACUGGGUUCCUCUUGCCCUUCUAUGGGAGGCCAUGGAUUCUGUUGAUGAAGCAACAGGACAGCAUAGGGGGUUCAUGAUUAUUUCAAGACUUCAGAAAUCACCAUCCAUUCUGUACUCUGUGAGUUGUAGGCAUGAGGCUUCGAAUAAUGUUGUAAAAUACCUGACAGAGGAUGUUCCACUGCUUUUGAAUUUAAACGAUGUAGAAGAUGUUAAGAAUGUACUCUCUGUUGUAUUCAAAUCAGCACCUGCUGAUCUGAGAGAGUUCAUCACAUGGGUUGCAGAGGUGCGAAGACAAGAGGAUAGGAGUAUGAUGUUGACAGAAGAGGAAAAACAAAGGCUUUCUCUCAAGGAAGAAGUAUUGAAACAAGUACGAGAGACUGAACUAUGCAAACAUGUGGCCAGAUGGUUGGCCUUUGAAGGUUCAUGUUGUGAAGAUAUGAUUUCUUUAUAUGACCGGGAUACAUUACCUGAAACUUUUGUUAAUAUUUGUUGCCAAGGAGCACAACUUUUGACUGGAAAAGCUGCUUCUUUAGAUGGAUUUUGUUGUAAAGGAACAAACCUGAAACUCAUAAAAUCUGAUGAUGAAAAGCCUGCAACAGUGGUUUCGGGGACUGUAGUUACUGAUGGCAUCCGAGAAAAGGUUGAUGUCCUGGUCCCUUCCUCUCAAACAGAACCUAGGUGUAACUGCAACACUGAUCCAAGCAGUUGCAUAUGGAUGCAUCCAUCAGCAUGUGAUGUCCUAACAGUACUUGUAUUGGCUCUACCUGAGAGUACAUGGUCUGGCAUCAAAGAAGAGAAGCUACGGGAACAAAUUAAAACUCUUGCUUCUACUGACAGUCUCCCAUCUUUGCUUCAAGAAGAGGUUCUGCAUUUGCGAAGGCAGCUCAACUUCCUCAUGACUGACCUCGGUGCUCCAUCUGCUUCGUGAUCUCAGUGUAUCGUCUCCCUCCUCCCUAGUCUCUUGGCAUGCAAGUCCAUAUACUUGUCUUUAAGGCUAUAAGAUUGCAAUAAAAACUCAAGGAAUCCAAGUAGCAUUGGGGGGUGGAGGUGUGAGAUGCAAGCCGUGUGUCGUUGAUUUUGACGGGUACUAAAAUUUUAUAAUCUCAUUAAUAUCAGCCUAGACGGGUCCAAGAAUAGAGAGAGUCAAAAACAGGAAUGA